This 290-nucleotide ribosomal RNA is filed under the name uncultured Glomeromycotina. Its description in RNAcentral is "partial 18S ribosomal RNA". It matches the Rfam family "Eukaryotic small subunit ribosomal RNA", at positions 804 to 1092 of the family's 1831-position model. The record is from RNAcentral. Lineage: Eukaryota; Fungi; Glomeromycota.
UUAGCAUGGAAUAAUGAAAUAGGACGAUGGUUCUAUUUUGUUGGUUUCCGGGACCGUCGUAAUGAUUAAUAGGGAUAGUUGGGGGCAUUCGUAUUCAAUUGUCAGAGGUGAAAUUCUUGGAUUUAUUGAAGACGGACUACUGCGAAAGCAUUUGCCAAGGAUGUUUUCAUUAAUCAAGAACGAAAGUUGGGGGAUCGAAGACGAUCAGAUACCGUCGUAGUCUCAACCAUAAACUAUGCCGACUGGGAAUCGGACGAUGUUAUUUUUUGUGACUCGUUCGGCGCCCCGAG